Molecule: ribosomal RNA, 170 nt
Filed under: uncultured bacterium
Lineage: Bacteria
Description: partial 16S ribosomal RNA
Rfam family: Bacterial small subunit ribosomal RNA
Source: RNAcentral
AAGCUGGAUUCGCUAGUAAUCGCGCAUCAGCCAUGGCGCGGUGAAUACGUUCCCGGGCCUUGUACACACCGCCCGUCAAGCCAUGGGAGCCGGGGGUGCUUGAAGUGCGUCGCCGCAAGGCGCGCCCUAGAGCAAAACCGGUGACUGGGGCUAAGUCGUAACAAGGUACC